RNAcentral lists this ribosomal RNA (253 nucleotides) under uncultured bacterium. RNAcentral's name for it is "partial 16S ribosomal RNA". It matches the Rfam family "Bacterial small subunit ribosomal RNA", at positions 524 to 776 of the family's 1533-position model. The record is from RNAcentral.
UACGGAGGGGGCUAGCGUUGUUCGGAAUUACUGGGCGUAAAGCGCACGUAGGCGGCUUUGUAAGUUAGAGGUGAAAGCCCGGAGCUCAACUCCGGAACUGCCUUUAAGACUGCAUCGCUUGAACGUCGGAGAGGUAAGUGGAAUUCCGAGUGUAGAGGUGAAAUUCGUAGAUAUUCGGAAGAACACCAGUGGCGAAGGCGGCUCACUGGCCCGGUACUGACGCUGAGGUGCGAAAGCGUGGGGAGCAAACAGG